ACACACACACACACACACACACACACACACACACACACACACACACACACACACACACACACUUUGCCCGUCACCCGUGUCACCUCACAGCCAGCCAUUGGAGGAGAAGUCCCGCCUCAGCUGCUGAGCCUCGGCCUCUGUGAUUGGCUGAAGAGGUGAUCGACAGGCGCCG
Etheostoma cragini (Arkansas darter) is the source of this 172-nucleotide long non-coding RNA. RefSeq lists it as uncharacterized. The record is from RefSeq and is a predicted model, not a curated record. Lineage: Eukaryota; Metazoa; Chordata; Actinopteri; Perciformes; Percidae. The transcript is spliced from 3 exons.